UGCGCUUCGAUGUCUCGCGUUAUUUAAUUUGGGGUGUAAGCCUGAAAGCUAGGUUUCAGUCGUGAGCCAUGUGGAACACGUCUGCAUCGAAAUGGGAGCCGGGUCCUGCUGCAACUGGGGACAGCAAUACCGACAUGCAGUAAUGAGGAUGGCACCAGUAUAAAGCAACACACUCCAUGCACUAAACAGAAGCUGCUGCCUGCUACAACAAGGUCAUUGUGUGGACUUUGGCUGCUACUACAAGAGUCUGUGCCAAGUACAUCUUGGUCAUCAUGGGAGCCCCCAUCUACACCAACAGGAAGGGGCUGGAGCUGAAUUCGCAAGACCACAAACAAAGAAGCCAUUCCAGAAUUAUUUGGAUGAGAUAUCAAGUCUACGGACGACUGUUUCAAGAGUGAAAAGAGCCUACGCCAUCAUUCCACCAGCACGGAUAUUGGCCGAGUCAUCCAGGUACCUCAACAACAAAAAUUAUUUGUCUUCAGAUGUACCUGCAACCUCUGAACAAGCACAGAUGACGCUGGCUAAGAGUGUUCUGUCAGCUUGCCCUUCCUUAGUGAGCUUCCUGGCCUUGCCAGUUCUUGCCAAGUAUAAUUUUGUUUCAAUGAAUGCAAGCUUUUUCAUUCCACACUUUUGUUAGAGAUCAUUCCUAUUCCUCAUACAAACAAUAAAGGUCAACCGAUUCUUUGCUCAUACUUAAUGCCAGUCACUGUCUAGUAGAAUAACAUAUGUGUAGCAGUUCUUUCUAGUGUAUGUUGCCAUGUGCAAUUCCUCUCCUGAAAUAGCUGAUGCAGCAUUGGCGUGUGUCUUGCAUUAACCUUUACACUGUGUGCUAUGUAGCAUUUAACUUUUGUUAAUGUUUUUGGCUUUCAAUGCUUGCAAGGUAGAGUGGCUUCUUUCUUGAAUGCAAGCUUUCUCAUUCCCAUAUUGAAUUCCUAGUCUCAUUCAGGAUUGCUAUUCUUGCUCGACAGCCUGUGUUUUUGUGCAAGCUACAUUGAAGUGGUUGAUUGCAGAAUCUGGUUUCGGCGCUGUCCGACUUGGUACUUGUCACCGUUUUACGUUUCUCAUAUGUGGGAGCCUGGUCAGUUGCAUUGGGAAACAGUCUCUCGAGGCAAGCACCUGCUCCUACAGUCCGCACAGUGGCAUAGACUGCGAAUUUACACGCACACCGUGGUUGGUGCUCCCCGUUCCGUCCUUUCCUGCUGCUGCCGUGUGCAAAUUUUGCUUGUGGUCUUCCUCGGCCAUGAUUUGGCGUCAACGGAGACUCUCAUACAUAAUUACAUGGUUCUAAGUGUAUGAAGUUGAUAUCCACAUGUGUGGAAAGGCCUGCAAAAGUGACUGCAAAAUAGUGAUGUUCACAAAACCAACCAUGACCAUAUAUAGAGAAUGUGGGGUACCAAGUGUGAGUUACACAUUAGUGGCAUGCAAAAGAACAAAAAGAAACAUGCAGGUUGGAAAGGCGGUAACGCUAAA
Dermacentor andersoni is the source of this 1470-nucleotide long non-coding RNA. RefSeq lists it as uncharacterized. Lineage: Eukaryota; Metazoa; Arthropoda; Arachnida; Ixodida; Ixodidae. The record is from RefSeq and is a predicted model, not a curated record.